CCCCUGGUGCCCGGGUCCUCGUCGGUCAGCGCCCCCGCGCCGUAGAAGUCCCCGUCGGCGAGCACCCCCAGCUGGGUCUCCGUGUCGUAGGCGCCGGCGCCGCGCCUGGCGAGCUUGCCGUGCGCGAUCAGCACCACCGCGUCCGCGGCGGCACCGGGCUCGACGACGACCUCGCCGGGCGCGAAGUCCCGCUGGACACAGGCCGCUGCCAGCUCCCGGAGGGCGCCGUCGUCCUCGAAGCCGGCCAGCGCGGGCAGUUCGCCCAGCUCGGCGGGGAUCACCCGUACCUCGGCGCCGGUCGACUCGAAUUCCACCCGCCCGUUCCCAACGGUGUGGGUCAGCCUGCGGUUCACCCGGAACGUACCGCCGGAGACCUGCACCCAGGGCAGCACCUUGAGCAGCCAGCGGGAGGUGAUCCCCUGCAUCUGCGGCGGCGUCUUGGUGGUGGUCGCCAGGUUGCGUGCGGCGGCGGUGUCCAGGCUGAGCCUGGGAUGGGCCG
This 499-nucleotide antisense RNA is filed under the name Streptomyces sp. MP131-18. RNAcentral's name for it is "Saccharopolyspora sRNA 350". It matches the Rfam family "Saccharopolyspora sRNA 350". Lineage: Bacteria; Bacillati; Actinomycetota; Actinomycetes; Kitasatosporales; Streptomycetaceae. The record is from Rfam by way of RNAcentral.